UACGAAGGGUGCAAGCGUUAAUCGGAAUUACUGGGCGUAAAGGGUGCGUAGGCGGUUCGUUAAGUCUGUCGUGAAAUCCCCGGGCUCAACCUGGGAAUGGCGAUGGAUACUGGCGAGCUAGAGUGUGUCAGAGGAUGGUGGAAUUCCCGGUGUAGCGGUGAAAUGCGUAGAGAUCGGGAGGAACAUCAGUGGCGAAGGCGGCCCCGGCCGCC
RNAcentral lists this ribosomal RNA (212 nucleotides) under uncultured bacterium. RNAcentral describes it as "partial 16S ribosomal RNA". It matches the Rfam family "Bacterial small subunit ribosomal RNA", at positions 524 to 738 of the family's 1533-position model. The record is from RNAcentral.